AGUCUGGCAGAUCUCUACUAUGUGUUCAGAUUAUCUUAAACGUGUAGAGGAUGUAUAAAGUAGUUCCUUGGGCCUUUUCAGAGAUCUCUUUUGGUUCAAAGGGGACACCUAAAGUAUUUUACCAAGUUGGAUAAUUAUUGAGGUUUUCCCAAACUGAUCAGAGCCACUGAGGUGGGUAAUGUUCUAGCACUAACCCCUUACAGGCCUGGAGUUGCUGCUAGAUUGCUACUAGCCCUAUUGGGGGACCCCGGUGGUUUCUGGACACGUUGGAGUCAUACGUGGUGUCCAGCAACAACACCAUAUAUGGGAACACAGAGUUGGCACCAAACUUGAGAUGUUUGUAAAGUAACUUAAGAGAGUAAUUCAUGCUCAAUACAGAAAGUUUGGGAAACAUGGGAAGUACCAAAAGAAAAAACAAAAAUCACCUGUAGUCUCAUUAUCCAAAAAUAAACACUACUAUAU
Molecule: long non-coding RNA, 462 nt
Filed under: Homo sapiens (human)
Lineage: Eukaryota; Metazoa; Chordata; Mammalia; Primates; Hominidae
Description: HSALNT0213095
Source: RNAcentral